This 164-nucleotide ribosomal RNA is filed under the name Camellia longipedicellata. RNAcentral describes it as "5.8S ribosomal RNA". It matches the Rfam family "5.8S ribosomal RNA". From Rfam's summary of the family: 5.8S ribosomal RNA (5.8S rRNA) is a component of the large subunit of the eukaryotic ribosome. It is transcribed by RNA polymerase I as part of the 45S precursor that also contains 18S and 28S rRNA. Lineage: Eukaryota; Viridiplantae; Streptophyta; Magnoliopsida; Ericales; Theaceae. The record is from RNAcentral.
UAAACGACUCUCGGCAACGGAUAUCUCGGCUCUCGCAUCGAUGAAGAACGUAGCGAAAUGCGAUACUUGGUGUGAAUUGCAGAAUCCCACGAACCAUCGAGUCUUUGAACGCAAGUUGCGCCCGAAGCCAUUAGGUUGAGGGCACGUCUGCCUGGGCGUCUCGC